UUCAUUUCCACAAACUUGUAUCAUUCGUCAUCUACUUUUAUAUCUACACGUUAUUAGUUCCCAACAUAGCAUGCGAAAAAAAAAACAAAAACAACAUAGCAUGCAGUGUUCUUGAAAAAAAAAACAAAAACAAAAAAAAACAUAGCAUGCGGUGUUUUAUAUCUUACACGUUAUGGUGGUGUUGUCUCAUUCGAUACAUUCAAAGUAUAACGACAAGUUUCGGAAAUUUUCUUCUAACGAUUUAUGGGAAGAUUAAACAUGAUCAUUGGACUAGAGGAAACGAACCAACUCUGGUGUAAGGCUAAUAGAGUUGAGGAAGCGAUUCAGGACAUGGAUUUAGUCCUUGUGUUAAUUAUUAGCUACACGACUGAUUUAUUUAUAAGGUGGUGUUAACUGUUAAUAUUGGCCAGCAGUGUAACUUCAUUAAGAUGCUUAGUGAGAUGGGGGUCUCCUCCUUAAUUAUGUGUUACUUACACCAACUAUAAUGUCUUCUUGUCUGUCGUCCUAACCUGUAUCUUUUUGUUCAUGGGCGUUAAUCAACUUGUAUAGAUCAUUAAGGUUUUGGGAACACCACCAACAAAGGGAAGAAAUAUAUCAAAUGCAUUCAAUACUGUCCCAGUCUCCGUUCUCGAUACAUUGGUCCACCCGUUCUUUGAUGAGCUUAGAGAUCCCCUAAUGCACGUUUCUUUCCUUCCACCAGUAUUCAACUUCAAGCCUCAUGAGCUUAAAGGUGUGCGCGUGCCCGUGGAGAUAAUGGCUAAGUUAGUACCUGAACAUGCAGAGGAAGCAGGGUCCAUGGCUGGGUUUGUGAUUUUAUCUGCUGUUAACUUGAUUUUCUUUUCUCUUGGGCUUUGAACAUUCAUAUUACUAUUACAUUGUGAAUAUUGUAUAUUUCUUUUGUUAUCAUACAAUUACUACCCAAGUUAUGGAACUUAAAUAGCUCCUUUAUACA
This is a long non-coding RNA of Brassica napus (rape), 952 nucleotides long. RefSeq lists it as uncharacterized. The record is from RefSeq and is a predicted model, not a curated record. The transcript is spliced from 4 exons. NCBI's taxonomy places the organism in Eukaryota, Viridiplantae, Streptophyta, Magnoliopsida, Brassicales, Brassicaceae.